This 253-nucleotide ribosomal RNA is filed under the name uncultured bacterium. Its description in RNAcentral is "partial 16S ribosomal RNA". It matches the Rfam family "Bacterial small subunit ribosomal RNA", at positions 524 to 776 of the family's 1533-position model. The record is from RNAcentral.
UACGGGGGGGGCAAGCGUUGUUCGGAAUUACUGGGCGUAAAGGGCUCGUAGGCGGCCAACUAAGUCAGACGUGAAAUCCCUCGGCUUAACCGGGGAACUGCAUCUGAUACUGGAUGGCUUGAGAUUGGGAGAGGGAUGCGGAAUUCCAGGUGUAGCGGUGAAAUGCGUAGAUAUCUGGAGGAACACCGGUGGCGAAGGCGGCAUCCUGGACCAACACUGACGCUCAUGCACGAAAGCGUGGGGAGCAAACAGG